Callithrix jacchus (white-tufted-ear marmoset) is the source of this 272-nucleotide unclassified non-coding RNA. It matches the Rfam family "Metazoan signal recognition particle RNA". From Rfam's summary of the family: The signal recognition particle (SRP) is a universally conserved ribonucleoprotein. It is involved in the co-translational targeting of proteins to membranes. Lineage: Eukaryota; Metazoa; Chordata; Mammalia; Primates; Cebidae. The record is from Ensembl.
GCCGGGCCCGGUGGCACGUGCCUGUAGUCCCAGCUACUCAGGAGGCUGCGGUGGGAUCAUCGCUUGAGCGAUGUUCUGGGUGUCCGCACUAAGUUCAGCGUCAAUAUGGUGACCUCCUGGGAGUGGGGAACCACCAGGUUGCCAAGCGAGGGGUGAACUGGCCCAGGUUGGAAACAGAGCAGGUCAAAACUCCUGUGCUGAUCAGUAGUGGGAUCAUACCUGUGAAUAGCACUGCACUCCAGCCUGGGCAACAUAGCAAGACCCCGUCUCUA